UAAGCGUUACGGAAAUCCUUUUGAAGAAAACACCGACGACAAAAGGUUCAGAUAUACGUAUUCUGAAAAUCCUUCUGAGGAAAACACUGAGGACAGAAGGGAAAAAUAUAAGCGUUACGGAAAUCCUUUUGAGGAAAAUACCGACGACAAAAGUAGCUACAACCACCAGUCACCAUUUACCACCACCGGCCACUACCACCACCGGCAUCGACACCGUCUGCUACAACCAUCGGUCACAGGUGGCAAAUUCUGAAGCUCCCAAAAAUUCACGUCUUAGUAAAUCAUUGGAGGAUGAGAUCAGUUUGGAGUCAGCAGUGACAGAUCAAUAGAACUGUUCCAUGUUGGUCACAUUUCAUUGAUUCUAAAGCAAGGUGCAGGUACGUCACAAGGUUUCUUCUUUUUGUUGGUUCCUCUUUGAAAUAUAAAGUUGAAGGUAUAGUGAUGUAAAUCCUUUACCCUCAAAGAGUCCAGAUACUGUAUUGCUCAGUUGCUUCUUUUGAUUUCACAUAUUUGCACCUUUAGAAACUGAAAUCCUUUUAUGGAAUUUCGUAUUUCAUAUAAAAGCACUUUUCAGCUGUUGUUCUGUUAGCUCAUUAAAUGUGUUUGGUUUGUCAUGUGAUAUCACUACCUCGAUUUAUUGUCUGCUGUUCUUGUGACAGAAAAUGUUGCAUUAACUGUCCAGCUCAUGAGAUGGUUUAUUAUGCAUUUUGAUUUUGAAGCUGAAGUUAUUCUUCUUUUUAAUGUGUUUUACACGCAUGACCUUGAAUGAGUAUGUUUCUAUGUCUGAAUGCGUAUAUGUAUAUAUAUAUAAUUCAAUUACUUUGUUAUUAGAAUUCAUUAAUUAGUGGCAGCAGGCUAUUCUUCAGUCCUUUGGCAGUUGAUUUAUGUUUAAUUUGGGCCCAUUGUCAUAUGGUAAUGGUUAUUUCUGUCCCUUCGAAUCUGCCAUGUGGUUGUGCUUGCCAAUCUAUAAAAAACUGCAUUCAUAAGUAUACUUCUACCCCUGGAUUUACUUCGUUAAGGACCACUGAUGUUGCACUAUAUUUCAGGCAACUAGAUAUGGCACCGAGGGAAGGUGGAAGUGGACGUUCACGGAGAGCUCAAAAUGAACCACUUGCUGAUUCACAGCCACAACAAUCAGCACAACCACAACAAUCCGCACAACUACUCCCACCACCAUAGCUAACUAUAGCAACUAACUUAGGCCCAUCCAGUUCUACACCAGUCACAAGUACACCAUUAUCAUCAUCAACCCCUGCUAGUCCAACUGAAGGUAUUGUAUUCUCAACUACCUCCACUACAACUACAGGCAAUCAAGUAAUCCUUCACCUUGUAGGAAACAAGUUUGGAGCCAUAUAAUUUUGCAAGCAAAAUUACUGAAUCUUUCAUAAAGAAAUUGGAUCUAACUGGUUAUGAAUGGAAGUCUGUGCCUCCAGACACAAAGGACAUGUCUUGGAGGCUGAAUUACGGAGACCCCCACUUCCACAUGAGGUUUUAGAGGUGACACCACUAGAAAGAAGGAUCUGCAAUUCGUGAACCAAGGAGGUUGUUGUAUCUAAAGUUCAAACUGAAUCUCAACCUGAAGAGGGAUCUAAUCAAUCACGCUUGGUUGACGCUACUUAGAUAUUCGUUCAAGAAGUUGGCGGCGUUAAGAAGCAUCGAGUAUACGGUCUCGGUUCACAAGCAUCUAUUUGCUUUGGUCACUCCAGCACCUCUAUCGCUUCUGCUACAUCUCUCCUUCAAGAACAAGAUGGUGAUUGAUGCUCAAAUUCAGGAGACGUUAAAGCAACGAAUGGAAGAGCUGGAGAUGCAACAGGAGUUGCAACAGCAACAACAGUUGAUGCAAGAAAAGUUGCAGCAGCAAUUACAGCAGCAAGUUGCAGAGCUUGUUCGCACUCAUUUCGCACCUACAGUUCCGCCAGCUCCUACUUCACAGCAUCUUUCGUCACAGACUUCUUCAGAUACUCACACUAAUGCUCAGGAUGAUGGUAAUAUCUAGGUAGACUUUAGUUGAUUUGUAUUAAAAGAUAUAAGUUUAUUAGUACCUAUAAGACUUGCAAUUGUUUGUAUUUGUGAAAAAAUUUAUGUUGUCUUAAUAUUUUAUGUAUACUUAAAACUAUUUAAAUGUUAUGUUAACUUUCUCUA
Non-coding RNA from Jatropha curcas, 2142 nucleotides. The record is from RefSeq and is a predicted model, not a curated record. NCBI's taxonomy places the organism in Eukaryota, Viridiplantae, Streptophyta, Magnoliopsida, Malpighiales, Euphorbiaceae.